Molecule: ribosomal RNA, 230 nt
Filed under: uncultured bacterium
Lineage: Bacteria
Description: partial 16S ribosomal RNA
Rfam family: Bacterial small subunit ribosomal RNA
Source: RNAcentral
UGAGCAAUCUGCCCUUCUCAUCGGAAUAAGCGUUGGAAACGACGUCUAAUGCCGAAUACGACCUCCUUUCGCAUGAUCGGAGGUGGAAAGCUCCGGCGGAGAAGGAUGAGCUCGCGGCCUAUCAGCUAGUUGGUGUGGGUAAUGGCUCACCAAGGCGACGACUGGUAGCCGGCCUGAGAGGGUGACCGGCCACACUGGGACUGAGACACGGCCCAGACCUCUACGGGAGG